RNAcentral lists this ribosomal RNA (460 nucleotides) under uncultured bacterium. Its description in RNAcentral is "partial 16S ribosomal RNA". It matches the Rfam family "Bacterial small subunit ribosomal RNA", at positions 338 to 795 of the family's 1533-position model. The record is from RNAcentral.
CCUACGGGAGGCAGCAGUGAGGAAUAUUGGUCAAUGGUCGGAAGACUGAACCAGCCAAGCCGCGUGCGGGAUGAAGGUACAGUGUAUCGUAAACCUCUUUUGUCAAGGAAUAAAGGCGAGUACGUGUCCUCGGAUGAGUGUACCUGAAGAAAAAGCAUCGGCUAACUCCGUGCCAGCAGCCGCGGUAAUACGGAGGAUGCGAGCGUUAUCCGGAUUUAUUGGGUUUAAAGGGUGCGCAGGCGGGUUGUUAAGUCAGCGGUUAAAGGUCCGGGCUUAACCCCGGACCCGCCUUUAAUACGGGCGGUCUCGAGUUGGAGUGCGGUAUGCGGAAUGUGCGGUGUAGCGGUGAAAUGCUUAGAUAUCGUGCAGAACUCCGAUUGCGAAGGCAGCAUGCCGGCUCCACACUGACGUUGAGGCACGAAAGCGUGGGGAGCGAACAGGAUUAGAUACCCCAGUAGUC